AUACGUAGGUGACAAGCGUUAUCCGGAUUUACUGGGUGUAAAGGGCGUGUGGGCGGUUUAGCAAGUCAGAAGUGAAAUUCCCGGGCUUAACUUGGGCGCUGCUUCUGAAACUGCUUUACUUGAGUGCUGGAGAGGAUAGUGGAAUUCCUAGUGUAGCGGUAAAAUGCGCAGAUAUUAGGAGGAACACCGGUGGCGAAGGCGGCUAUCUGGACAGUAACUGACGCUGAGGCGCGAAAGCACGGGGAGCAAACAGGAUUAGAUACCCUGGUAGUCCGUGCCGUAAACGAUGAAUACUAGGUGUAGGGGGUAUCGACUCCCUCUGUGCCGCAGUUAACACAUUAAGUAUUCCACCUGGGGAGUACGGCCGCAAGGUUGAAACUCAAAUGAAUUGACGGGG
RNAcentral lists this ribosomal RNA (397 nucleotides) under uncultured bacterium. RNAcentral's name for it is "partial 16S ribosomal RNA". It matches the Rfam family "Bacterial small subunit ribosomal RNA", at positions 523 to 918 of the family's 1533-position model. The record is from RNAcentral.